GACACCCCCCAGUGGCAGCCUUACUGCCUCUUUGGGAAGUGGUGGGUCCCAGAGGUUAGGCCAUGUGAUCAAGCUGCGGAUUGAGGUGAACAUGUGUAAUGGCCUCGCCACUGAGUAUCCACGCUGCUUCCCACUCUGUUGGCAAGUUCUGCAGAUGUCCUCCAGCACCCAACAGUCACCCACAGCCCCGUCUGCCUGGCUGCACACAGGCAGCUUCAGAUUGGUAGAAACGUGAGGCCAAGCAUCUCUCAAGCCAGUGAAUAGCUUUCCAGGGACCAGUGGAAUUCAUAAGCAUCUCGGGAAGCACCGCGAUUCCUGAUUGGUCCUCUCAGUCCUGUGCCGCACCCACUGGCUGUGACGUCAUCCACAGCUCAUUGUUUUGAGGCCAUGCUGGCCAAUCAGCUGGGAGGAAUCUCAGCAUUUCCUCAGUGACUAGGGUGGCAUGUGCUGUGCGUAGAGAACCGACGUCAGAGACAACUUCAUAUGGCAAUUCACUUCCCCUCCUCUUUAUCGCAUACACUGAACAGCAGAAAUAAUGAAAAGCUUCAUAUCCAGUAGAGAACAGUCAAACAUCACGUAAAAACGUAGCAAUACCACUCAACUGCGGGCGGCUUUCUGUCACUUUCAGCUCUUGGGCUGCUUCUAACGGGGCUGGACGGCAUCCGCCAUCCGCCGUGCUCGCUCCUUCCCGGCCCAAGCUCGGCCCCUUCCUGUGAUGAAGGUGAGCCAGGUGUGGACGCGCUCCCUAGGCCGUGCCGGGCUGCGGAAGGCGGGAACCUGCACCCCUGGAACCUGUGCUGCAGUCUUGCUGGCCAUGCAUUCUGGCUCGUGCUCCAGCGCCACGGACCUGAUUCUCUCCAUUGUUACUCCCUUCCCAGAACAACAGGGUGUUUCGCUAUGUAUUCCAGGUUGGCUUGAGAUCCUCCUGUCUCAGCCUCCCAAGUGCUGGGAUUAUAGGUGUGUACCACCGCACCUGGCUCUGUGGAGUUACCAUGCAUUGUGAUUUCUGGCAAUAAAAGUAUUCAUUGG
Molecule: long non-coding RNA, 1029 nt
Filed under: Heterocephalus glaber (naked mole-rat)
Lineage: Eukaryota; Metazoa; Chordata; Mammalia; Rodentia; Bathyergidae
Description: lncRNA (ENSHGLG00100039048.1)
Source: RNAcentral